RNAcentral lists this unclassified non-coding RNA (300 nucleotides) under Hevea brasiliensis (rubber tree). Lineage: Eukaryota; Viridiplantae; Streptophyta; Magnoliopsida; Malpighiales; Euphorbiaceae. The record is from RNAcentral.
UGUACACUUCCUGGUACAUGUGGAGCUCGCUGGCAAGCCUGUCGUCACUGCCACCCAAAUGCUCGAGUCUAUGAUUAAGUCUCCUCGCCCGACUCGUGCUGAAGCCACUGAUGUAGCCAAUGCCGUUCUUGACGGUACCGACUGUGUUAUGCUUAGCGGUGAAAGUGCAGCUGGAGCGUACCCUGAGAUAGCCGUCAAGGUCAUGGCCAAAAUAUGCAUUGAGGCAGAGUCAUCCCUCGACUAUGAUGCUGUCUUCAAGGAAAUGAUUAGGUCUGCUCCUCUCCCCAUGAGCCCGCUGGA